CCUACGGGAGGCAGCAGUAAGGGAUAUUGGUCAAUGGGCGAAAGCCUGAACCAGCAACGCCGCGUGGAGGAUGACGGCCUUCGGGUUGUAAACUCCUUUUGUCGAGGACGAGAGAGGACGGUACUCGGCGAAUAAGUCACGGCUAACUACGUGCCAGCAGCCGCGGUAAAACGUAGGUGACGAGCGUUAUCCGGAUUUACUGGGCGUAAAGCGUGUGCAGACGGGUGGACAAGUGCUGUAUGAAAUCACUAGGCUUAACUUAGUGAGGUUAUGGCAGACUGUUCAUCUAGAGUGCGAGAGAGGGAUGUGGAAUUCCGGGUGUAGUGGUGAAAUGCGUAGAGAUCCGGAGGAACCCCAGAGGCGAAGGCGGCGUCCUGGCUCGCAACUGACGUUCAGACACGAUAGCAUGGGGAGCAAACGGGAUUAGAAACCCCGGUAGUCCAUGCCGUAAACGAUGUUGACUAGGCGCUAGCGGUGAUGAGCCGUUGGUGCCGCAGCAAACGCGAUAAGUCAACCGCCUGGGAACUACGACCGCAAGGUUAAAACUCAAAUGAAUUGACGG
RNAcentral lists this ribosomal RNA (562 nucleotides) under uncultured bacterium. RNAcentral describes it as "bacterial SSU rRNA". It matches the Rfam family "Bacterial small subunit ribosomal RNA", at positions 338 to 916 of the family's 1533-position model. The record is from RNAcentral.